GCAGCCUCCAACUCCUGAAUUCAAGCAAUCUUCCCAUCUCAGCCUCCUGAGUAGCUGAGACUACAGCUGGGAUUACAGGCAUGAGCCACCGCACCCGGCCUGUUAUACAUAUCUUUAACAUUAAAAUUUGUUCCUAUGUGGUAAGAACAGUAAAAGGAGUAAUAAAAUUGCCAAAAUAAGUUGUGAUUUUCCAAGAGAUGACUGUGCUUUGCAUUACUGUGAAACACUGAAAACACUGCUAAAUGACCUAUGCGUAACACACACCCAUGCUAUCUUCUUACUCUUGCCCCAGUACAUCCAUAUGCAUUGCUCUAACAGUGUGCAAGCUGUUCUUCUGAGUUUAUUUUAUGAUAAGCGUAUUGAAUACAUUAUCUCAAAUCUGUGUAAGCAUCCUGCUUAUAAGAAUCUCAAGCAAUGAAUAAAAAGAAAAGCCUUAUGUUUUAAGGAGAAAAUGAAAUAAUAAAAUAUUUUGAAACAAAUGAGAGAACUUGCAGGCCUGAAGGAAUCCACAUUGCCCAUUUAGAUUUAGAGAUUUAGAAACAAGGCUAAGAAAAUAAAAGAAAGGAAAACUCUUACAUCAUAGUUAUCUGCUUCCAGUGGAAUUGAGAAGCAUUUGGAAGAGACUGAAGACAAAGAAAGACUCUAAUGCUGAACAAUGAGUGUGGAUGAGGCCGGGCGUGGUGGCUCAUGCCUGUAAUCCCAGCGCUUUGGGAGGCCGAGGUAGGCAGAUCACUUGAGGUCAGGAGUUUGAGACCAGCCUAGCCCGGCCAACAUAGUGAAACCCUGCCCGUACUAAAAAUACAAAAAUUAGCCAGGCUUGGUGGCGGGUGCCUGUAAUCCCAGCUCCUUGGAAGGCUGAGGCAGGAGAAUCGCUUGAACCCGGGAGGUGGAGGUUGCAGUGAGCGAAGAUGUCACCACUGCACUCCAGCGUGGGUGACAGAGCGAGACUCUGUCUCGAGAAAAAAAAAGGGCUGUGGGGGGGGCUAUCAUUUUAACCUAGUAGAUUGGCAAAGACUAUUUUUUAAAAAUAUUUAAAAUAGGGAGCCCGAGGCGGGCAGAUCACGAGCUCAGGAGAUCGAGACCAUCCUGGCUACUAACAUGGUGAAACCCCGUCUGUACCGAAAAUACAAAAAAUUACCCGGGCGUGGUGGCGGGCGCCUGUGGUCCCGCCUACUCGGGAGGCUGAGGCAGGAGAAUGGUGC
Molecule: long non-coding RNA, 1202 nt
Filed under: Homo sapiens (human)
Lineage: Eukaryota; Metazoa; Chordata; Mammalia; Primates; Hominidae
Description: non-protein coding lnc-CFAP36-1:1
Source: RNAcentral